This 450-nucleotide ribosomal RNA is filed under the name uncultured Anaplasma sp. Its description in RNAcentral is "bacterial SSU rRNA". It matches the Rfam family "Bacterial small subunit ribosomal RNA", at positions 100 to 586 of the family's 1533-position model. The record is from RNAcentral. Lineage: Bacteria; Pseudomonadati; Pseudomonadota; Alphaproteobacteria; Rickettsiales; Anaplasmataceae.
AGACGGGUGAGUAAUGCAUAGGAAUCUACCUAGUAGUAUGGGAUAGCCACUAGAAAUGGUGGGUAAUACUGUAUAAUCCCUGCGGGGGAAAGAUUUAUCGCUAUUAGAUGAGCCUAUGUUAGAUUAGCUACUUGGUAGGGUAAAGGCCUACCAAGGCAGUGAUCUAUAGCUGGUCUGAGAGGAUGAUCAGCCACACUGGAACUGAGAUACGGUCCAGACUCCUACGGGAGGCAGCAGUGGGGAAUAUUGACAAUGGGCGCAAGCCUGUUCCAGCUAUGCCGGGUGAGUGAGGAAGGCCUUAGGGUUGUAAAACUCUUUCAGUGGGGAAGAUAAUGACGGUACCCACAGAAGAAGUCCCGGCAAACUCCGUGCCAGCAGCCGCGGUAAUACGGAGGGGGCAAGCGUUGUUCGGAAUUAUUGGGCGUAAAGGGCAUGUAGGCGGUUCGGUAA